This 1419-nucleotide ribosomal RNA is filed under the name Triticum aestivum (bread wheat). RNAcentral describes it as "partial small subunit ribosomal RNA". Lineage: Eukaryota; Viridiplantae; Streptophyta; Magnoliopsida; Poales; Poaceae. The record is from RNAcentral.
AUGGACGAGGGGAACACCAACAUCACCAAGAUGCUGGAGACGCUGCUCGCCAAAAUCAAUGACCAGAAGGUGGCGCACGACAAACAGAUCGAGCUCCAGGCCGCCUUCAAUGCGCAGAUCUCGCAGGAGAUGCGCGGCCUCUCGCGGCAGCUUGAUCUGACCCAGGCGGACCUCGACCUCACGCGCAAGACGGUGGAAGGAUCGGCCUCUCCGUCAGGUUCGGUCACCACGCAUCUUCACCAGCCCGCGCAACAGCAGCAGCAACCCCCACCGCCCCCUCCUCCUCCUUCGCCGCGCCCCGUACCGGAUCUGGCGCGCCCGUCGUCUUCACACGCGCGUCUGGGCGAUCACCGCCCACCUCUCCUUCCUGUGCCACCACAGGGCGGAUUUGUCGCCGUGCCGACCGCAUCUCCGACGGGCUACAACACCAACGAGUACCACAAGCCCCCGAAGCACGAUUUUCCCAAGUUCGACGGCACGACGCCAUACUUGUGGCUGGACCGUUGCCUUGCCUACUUCGAGCUCUACAAGGUGGCUGCCCACCAGUGGGUCGCCACCGCGGCGCUCUACAUCGACGGCCAGGCCGCACACUGGCUUCAAGCGUUCCGCCAGACGCAUCGCAACAUCACAUGGGACGUCUUCACGUUGGCGAUCCUGGAGGAAUUUGGCGCCGACGAGUUUGAGGUGGUGAUGCACAAGCUGCUCCAGCUCCGCCAAACAGGCACAGUCGCCGAGUACCGCGCCGCGUUCGACGAGCAGAUGUACCACUUGCUCGCGCUCGAUCCAUCGAUCAACACCAAGUUCUUCGUGACGCAGUUCCUCCUUGGCCUGAAGGACGAGUUGCGUGCCCCGGUGCGUCUUCAGGCACCUUCAAGCAUCACGCUCGCAUCGGUGCUCGCGCGCAUCCAAGAGGAAGAACUGGGCACGACCCGCGCGCGAACCCGCAUCACACCCGCGGGCCGACCACCACCAACAACAGCCGCAGCGGCACUGCCACAGCGCGCCGCGGCCGCGCCGGUUCGCGCCCAAGGAGACGAGUACGCGCGGGAGCGGCAGCUCCGCAAUUUUCGCCGCGCGAACAACCUCUGUUUCAAGUGUGGCGAUCGCUACUCCAGAGAACAUCGCUGCGCCCAGCCCGCGCAACUCCUCACAAUCAAUGUGGGGGACCACGGUGAGGUGCUCUCGGACGACACCAUCCAUGCCCUGCAGCUGCUCGAUGACCCGGGCCCGGUGGUGCAACCCCCUGCCUUGGCCGCGGAUGCGCCAGAGUGCUGUCUCCUCUCGUUGCAAGCGCUCGACGGCACGGACUCGGCGACGACGAUCAGGUUGCGCGCACUAGUGGGAAACCAGGUCAUGCUCCUGCUGCUCGACUCGGGCAGCACCCACGUUUUGUCAACAAGGCGUUCGUUGAUCGCCUAG